Choloepus didactylus (southern two-toed sloth) is the source of this 1541-nucleotide long non-coding RNA. RefSeq lists it as uncharacterized. The record is from RefSeq and is a predicted model, not a curated record. The transcript is spliced from 4 exons. Lineage: Eukaryota; Metazoa; Chordata; Mammalia; Pilosa; Megalonychidae.
UAUUGGAGACAGUAACUUGUGCUCUGGGUUCCACAGGGCCGUGGAGGGAGGGGAACUGGGCUUAAGGAUGGAUCACACCCACAGCCGAUUCUGACGAGACCUUGUACUUAGCCUUGUUACUGAGCGGCUUUGGGGAGGUUGUGAUGGAAUGAAUUUUGCAUAUGGGAAGAAAUGUCUUUUGGGGGUCCACAGGGGAAACUGUGGUAGAUUGAACCGUGCAUCCCAGUUUGGACAUGGUCUGCGUUCAGGUGGGUGUGGACCCACUGGAAAUACCAUCUCUUGCAGAUGUGACUUCAGGUGAGGUGUGACCAAGUGAGUCAGGUUGGCCUGUAAUCUGGAUUGAUGGAGACUUUCUAAGCAGAGUGAAAAUCCGACGGAGAGAAGCCACGGGGAGCAGCCAGAAUGUGAAGUCAACGGAACCGGAGAACGGAGGAGACACCGCCAUGUGCGUUGUCACGUGACGGAAGAGCCAAGGAACCCCAAAGACGGCCGGACAGCCGGAAGGGCUGGCAUCAAAUUUUGGCAGGAUGGAUCACUACCCUGGAGGUCCACAUGGCUGCCAGCAGGGCUGGAGCAGGGGAGGUCAGGAAAAGCUGCCAUAGCUCCUGGGUUCCUGCCAGCUUCCCAGCGUUGGGAUUUCGGAGGAGCUGCAGGGAAUCUCUGCUGAUGGGCACUGCUGCCCGGAGCACAGAGGCGGGUAUUUAGAGAACACAGAGGAACUCUGGGUUUCCCGCGCUGCGGUGGGUGCAGUUUGGGGACGUACGUCGUAUCCUCGGAGAACAGCCAGGUGGAAGGAGAGGAGCUGCAGGGGAAUCACACUCAGGAUGCCCUGGAGGCAGUCCACGGUCGGGGGCAGCUCGAUCGUUUUAUACGCAAACUUGGAACUUUCGGUGUCGUCCUUGGAGCACAGUAUAAUGGGGCGACCCUACGGCAGAGAAGUCAGUCACAGAUGGAGCCCAUCUCCGGAAGAGGCAGUCGUUCAUAGACAGCCACGUUCCUGACGCCAGCGUGGUUCUGCUGUCCUUCAGGCCUCAGUUCAGAUGUCUCCUCUGUAGACAAAACUCCCCAGACCUCACCACCUCUUGGAGUUGCGGCAGUUAUGGGUGAGGCGAUGCCUGUGACUGGCGGUGUCAGUUUAUCAGCGUUGGCCGUGUUCUGGUGUUUCCUCCCCUUCCCCGUAAGGUGGCCCCAGGCCGUGGGGUUCACCCACCACCUGUCUGUUGAGAGGCUUCAGUGAGCCUUGCAAAGGGAGGGUGGACCCACCCCUCACUCUAAGGGGCUUGUGGUUCCGUGGUGGAAAACAAAAACGUAAAAGAGCAAACCAAUCAAUAAAGACGGAUUUCCGGUCAGGGCUAUGGAAGCGAUAAAGCAGGGUAAUGUGAUCAGGAGAAGGUGGUGAGGUCUGGGAAGUUCACUGAGACCUGAAGGACAUGGAGCCAGCUGUCUGAUUUGUGGAAAGAACAUUCCAGGCCCCGAGGGGUCGGCUGGCACAGAGGCUCCGACGCAGGAAUAGGCCAGAAGGACGGAAGGCAUGGGUGAUG